AGCUUGCUCCGCUGACGAGUGGCGAACGGGUGAGUAAUAUAUCGGAACGUACCCAGAAGUGGGGGAUAACGUAGCGAAAGUUACGCUAAUACCGCAUACGAUCCACGGAUGAAAGUAGGGGACCUUCGGGCCUUAUGCUUUUGGAGCGGCCGAUAUCUGAUUAGCUAGUUGGUGGGGUAAAGGCCUACCAAGGCGACGAUCAGUAGCUGGUCUGAGAGGACGACCAGCCACACUGGAACUGAGACACGGUCCAGACUCCUACGGGAGGCAGCAGUGGGGAAUUUUGGACAAUGGGCGCAAGCCUGAUCCAGCAAUGCCGCGUGAGUGAAGAAGGCCUUCGGGUUGUAAAGCUCUUUUGUCAGGGAAGAAACGGUAGAGGCUAAUAUCCUUUGCUAAUGACGGUACCUGAAGAAUAAGCACCGGCUAACUACGUGCCAGCAGCCGCGGUAAUACGUAGGGUGCAAGCGUUAAUCGGAAUUACUGGGCGUAAAGCGUGCGCAGGCGGUUUUGUAAGUCUGACGUGAAAUCCCCGGGCUCAACCUGGGAAUUGCGUUGGAGACUGCAAGGCUAGAAUCUGGCAGAGGGGGGUAGAAUUCCACGUGUAGCAGUGAAAUGCGUAGAGAUGUGGAGGAACACCGAUGGCGAAGGCAGCCCCCUGGGUCAAGAUUGACGCUCAUGCACGAAAGCGU
RNAcentral lists this ribosomal RNA (689 nucleotides) under Massilia sp. MJBC31. RNAcentral's name for it is "bacterial SSU rRNA". It matches the Rfam family "Bacterial small subunit ribosomal RNA", at positions 77 to 762 of the family's 1533-position model. Lineage: Bacteria; Pseudomonadati; Pseudomonadota; Betaproteobacteria; Burkholderiales; Oxalobacteraceae. The record is from RNAcentral.